This 971-nucleotide ribosomal RNA is filed under the name Staurosphaeria rhamnicola. Its description in RNAcentral is "SSU rRNA". It matches the Rfam family "Eukaryotic small subunit ribosomal RNA", at positions 121 to 1102 of the family's 1831-position model. Lineage: Eukaryota; Fungi; Ascomycota; Dothideomycetes; Pleosporales; Coniothyriaceae. The record is from RNAcentral.
UUGAUAGUACCUUACUACUUGGAUAACCGUGGUAAUUCUAGAGCUAAUACAUGCUGAAAACCGCAACUUCGGAAGCGGUGUAUUUAUUAGAUAAAAAACCAACGCCCUUCGGGGCUUCUUGGUGAUUCAUGAUAACUUUACGGAUCGCAUGGCCUUGCGCCGGCGACGGUUCAUUCAAAUUUCUGCCCUAUCAACUUUCGAUGGUAAGGUAUUGGCUUACCAUGGUUUCAACGGGUAACGGGGAAUUAGGGUUCGAUUCCGGAGAGGGAGCCUGAGAAACGGCUACCACAUCCAAGGAAGGCAGCAGGCGCGCAAAUUACCCAAUCCCGACACGGGGAGGUAGUGACAAUAAAUACUGAUACAGGGCUCUUUUGGGUCUUGUAAUUGGAAUGAGUACAAUUUAAACCUCUUAACGAGGAACAAUUGGAGGGCAAGUCUGGUGCCAGCAGCCGCGGUAAUUCCAGCUCCAAUAGCGUAUAUUAAAGUUGUUGCAGUUAAAAAGCUCGUAGUUGAAACUUGGGUCUGGCUGGCAGGUCCGCCUCACCGCGUGUACUUGUCCGGCCGGGCCUUCCUUCUGGAGAACCUCAUGCCCUUCACUGGGCGUGUUGGGGACCAGGACUUUUACUUUGAAAAAAUUAGAGUGUUCAAAGCAGGCCUUUGCUCGAAUACGUUAGCAUGGAAUAAUAGAAUAGGACGUGCGGUCCUAUUUUGUUGGUUUCUAGGACCGCCGUAAUGAUUAAUAGGGACAGUCGGGGGCAUCAGUAUUCAAUUGUCAGAGGUGAAAUUCUUGGAUUUAUUGAAGACUAACUACUGCGAAAGCAUUUGCCAAGGAUGUUUUCAUUAAUCAGUGAACGAAAGUUAGGGGAUCGAAGACGAUCAGAUACCGUCGUAGUCUUAACCGUAAACUAUGCCGACUAGGGAUCGGGCGAUGUUCUUUUUCUGACUCGCUCGGCACCUUACGAGAAAUCAAA